UGUGGCAACGCCAGAAAGCAAAAAUCGAUUGUUCAGUGUUAUCGGUAUUAUUCUGCAUUUCUUUCUAUUCUGCGUUUUUUCGUCGGUGUAAAGUGCAUAAAAUUGUUACAUUUGCCCUGUAAUAAUAUAGUUUAAGUUCAAAUAGUUGCCUAACAAAAUGUCGUUUGCGGAAAAGUUAACGGGACUGAUGGCGCGGCCAAAUCAACAAGAUCCAGCUGGCGGUCCAGAGCAGCCUUGGUAUCUCAAAUAUGGCAGUCGUGUGCUGGGUAUCGUUGCCGCAUUCUUUGCCAUACUCUUCGGCCUGUGGAAUGUGCUCUCAAUAAUUGGAUUGAGCGUCUCAUGCCUUGUCGCGGGCAUCAUACAAAUGCUAGCAGGAUUUGUGGUGAUGGCGCUGGAAGCGCCUUGUUGCUUUAUUUGUAUCGAGAAGGUCGGCUCGGUGGCGGAUAUGAUGGACACCAAGCCCUUGUACUUCCGAGCGGGCCUGUACUGCGCCAUGGCGGUGCCGCCAAUAUUUAUGUGCUUCGGCCUGGCGAGUCUCUUUGGCAGCGGCCUGAUCUUUGCCACCGGCGCUGUCUACGGCAUGAUGGCGUUAGGCAAAAAAGCUUCGCGCGAGGACAUGGCCGCUGCGGCCACAUCGCCCACACAAAUGGCCGGCGGCCAGGCAGGCGGCCAAAUGCAAAUGGGCGGCGAUCAACAUAUCACACUCAUGGAAGAUCCCGAUGUUUGGCGUCCAACAUAAAUGCGCUAACCAAAUGCAUAAACUGCCAAAAACAAAGCAUAUGAUAAACAAUUAAACACAAACAAACACACCUAAACACCCAACACACACAUCACACAAUUAGACAAGGAAAGAAAUAUCAUAAUGAAAUAUUGAGUAACAAAUAUUUUACGAUGCAUAGUUUUUAGUGUUCGUUCCAAUUAAAGUUAAUAUAUAUAAUGAUUAAAACGUUGUAGGGCCGCGCAGAGAUCAUAAUACACAACAUUGAAUACAGAAUACAGAAUUACAAAACACCCCACCAAUUGAAAAAGAUAGAAACUUUUCAUAAUUGUUACGAAACGAAGAAAAAACCAAAAAAAUAAUGUUGACAAAAUGUUACGCAAAUGCAUUUUCUCCAUUUUAAGUCAUUUGUCGUCCUUUGCAUGUAGUUGCAUUUUUCCAUUUUUAAAUGUCCUUUGUCGCACGAGGUGUUUUUGAAAAGUACAGUUAAAUAUACAAAUAUAUAAAUAUAAUAUAUAUUAAUAUUAAUAAUACAUGUACAAUUUAUUUUUAGUGAGAAAUUAUAUUGAUAACAAAAAAACACGCUAAAUAUUGCUAUCGAGCAACAGCUUCCACACGGCUAAAGUACACAAAUUACCUGCAACAUAAAAAAUAGUCAAGAAUCGUAGAGCAAUAAAUACAACUCAGAGAGCAUUAACUUAAUAUACUUGAUUGCUUGAGCAUAAUACCAAUUUAAAUGUUAAAAUGUUAAACGAGAUAAACAAACGUUUCUUUGUUCAUUUGAUCACGAGAUAAUGUAACAAAUAUCAAAUGUAGAAAUCCAAUAUGCAGAAUUGUUCAUAAUUUUUUGUUCUUAUUUUUGUGAUUGUAAUUAAGUAUGAGAUAUGCAUCUUAUAAAUUCAAGAGGUUGUACCUUUACUGUAUUCAGCUAUAGAUUCUUUUGCUAAGUAAAAAAAAUGUACAAUGAAUUUGUAACGAUUCAAAAUGUCUACUGUUUGUUCGGCUAUGGCCUUUUUUCUCUCAGACAUUCGCAAAAAACAUUCCAAUAUUCUUUUUGUUAUUUAUAUAACAAGUUUGAUGAUAUAUAUGUAUAUUUGGAUAUAGCCUUUAGUACUUCCAGACUUCAGUCUGCCAAUUAAUAUUCAUAUAUUUAUACUCAGCUGUUGUAUGAUAAAUUAUUUAUCAGAUAUCAACAUAUUACUAAAUAUCGUGGGCUAAGAAGCACUCACAGAGUUCUGAAUUUAUAACUUGUUUAUUUAUAUAUAAUCAAAAACAUAUUGUUUAAUCACCUAAAAAAUACUCGCAAACAAAGCGUAAGCAACCUAAUGGAUCCAUAUUGGCAUCCAAUGUGGCUUUCUUUAUAUAAAUGCAUACUCUCUGAUUACUUGUUACAAAUCACUUUCUCGCAAGCAGCCUGAACAGAGUCCUAGCUUAAUAUACCUUAUAUAUAGUUAAAAUUAGUUAAUUAAUUAAUUAUGCAUAACGAACGCAACACUAAAAAUCAUUCAAGUAAAAUAUUCUGUUUAAAACUAAAUUUAUAUAACAUAUGUACAUUAUGCCAAAGAAUUGUACAUGCCAAACUGCCCCAGAACAGUCCAGUUAAUGCCAAUUUGCAGCCUGCAGCAAGUCAACUACAUAAACUUCAACAACAACAGCAAGAAAGCCUCCGCCGCCGAAAUGCGCGCCGCGGCACAGCAAACAUCAUACGGUGGCAAUGCGGCGCCAACAACCAACGAUCGGGCGGGCAUUGUGAAUAAUGCGCAGCCCUUCUCCUUCACCGGUGCCGUGGGCACGGACAGCAAUGUGUGAUGAAAUCGGUAAUGGAACAUAUGGAUCGUGGCUGGGGUGUGCGGUGAGAAAA
Molecule: RNA transcript, 2579 nt
Organism: Drosophila montana
Lineage: Eukaryota; Metazoa; Arthropoda; Insecta; Diptera; Drosophilidae
Gene: fwe
Gene name: Calcium channel fwe
Exons: 6
Source: RefSeq, a predicted model, not a curated record